RNAcentral lists this unclassified non-coding RNA (227 nucleotides) under uncultured fungus. RNAcentral's name for it is "sequence contains ITS1, 5.8S rRNA gene". The stretch from base 179 to 227 matches the Rfam family "5.8S ribosomal RNA", at positions 1 to 49 of the family's 154-position model. Lineage: Eukaryota; Fungi. The record is from RNAcentral.
UCUCCGUAGGUGAACCUGCGGAGGGAUCAUUACCGAGUAAGGGUUCCGGCCCGACCUCCAACCCUUUGUGAAUUCGACCCAGUUGCCUCGGGGGCGACCCGGCCUUCGGGCGUCGGGGCCCCCGGUGGACCACCCAACCCUGCAUCAUGACGUCUGAGUUUAUACAAAAAUAAAUCAAAACUUUCAACAACGGAUCUCUUGGUUCUGGCAUCGAUGAAGAACGCAGC